This 689-nucleotide long non-coding RNA is filed under the name Neodiprion pinetum (white pine sawfly). RNAcentral's name for it is "uncharacterized LOC124223342". The record is from RNAcentral. Lineage: Eukaryota; Metazoa; Arthropoda; Insecta; Hymenoptera; Diprionidae.
GUUCCUGUACUCCAAGUCCGCUACCUUGUGAAACUCGACUUCCGGAACAUGCGCUCCGUAGUUCUGGCUGUCCAGGUCUUUGACCUGCUAACGUUUGACCUUCACGACUAAUUUUCCGUAGUUCUGGCUGUCCAGGUUCUGAACCCGGUGACUUUUCACCAAGCGCUACGUAGUUUGUGCGCUCCCGAUCCGCUACCUAGUGGAACUCGACUUUCAGGACACGCGCUCCGUAGUUUCUGCGCUCAAGGUCCACUACCUGCAGGAACUCGAUUUCCAGGACAAGGGUUCCAUGGUUCCUGCACUCCAGGUUCGCUACCUGGUGCGUCUCGACUUCCUGACAAGCGCUCCGUGGUUGCUUCGAUAAAGGUCCAAUACCUAGUAAAACUCGACUUUCAGAACACGCGCUGCGUAGUUUCUGCGCUCCAGAUCCGCUUCCUGGUGAAAAUCGACUUUCAGAACAAGAGUAUUCCAGGUAUAACCCGAGGUGAUUAGCAGUAGUGGUUGGCGGUGGUCGAGCUGGACAAGGCGGAGGAUGAGGCAGACGAGGAGAACAAGGUGGACGAGGAGGACGAGGAUUUGUGCUCGGUAUAUCCUGAGGUGGUUGGCGGUCGUUGGAGAUGGCCGGAGGUGGACAAGGAGGACGAGGAUUUUUGCUCGUUCUGUGCCCCACCUAGUGAUCCGCUAGUACA